RNAcentral lists this ribosomal RNA (484 nucleotides) under uncultured bacterium. Its description in RNAcentral is "partial 16S ribosomal RNA". It matches the Rfam family "Bacterial small subunit ribosomal RNA", at positions 30 to 507 of the family's 1533-position model. The record is from RNAcentral.
AUUGAACGCUGGCGGCAGGCCUAACACAUGCAAGUCGAGCGGAUGAAGGGAGCUCGCUCCUGGAUUCAGCGGCGGACGGGUGAGUAAUGCCUAGGAAUCUGCCUGGUAGUGGGGGAUAACGUCCGGAAACGGGCGCUAAUACCGCAUCCGUCCUGAGGGAGAAAGUGGGGGAUCUUCGGACCUCACGCUAUCAGAUGAGCCUAGGUCGGAUUAGCUAGUUGGUGGGGUAAAGGCCUACCAAGGCGACGAUCCGUAACUGGUCUGAGAGGAUGAUCAGUCACACUGGAACUGAGACACGGUCCAGACUCCUACGGGAGGCAGCAGUAGGGAAUAUUGGACAAUGGGCGAAAGCCUGAUCCAGCCAUGCCGCGUGUGUGAAGAAGGUCUUCGGAUUGUAAAGCACUUUAAGUUGGGAGGAAGGGCAGUAAGUUAAUACCUUGCUGUUUUGACGUUACCAACAGAAUAAGCACCGGCUAACUUCGUG